GCCAGGCGUGGUGGUGCGCACCUGUAAUCCCAGCUACUCAGGAGGCUGAGGCAGGAGAAUCACUUGAACCCGGGAGGCAGAGGUUGCAGUGAGCCGAGGUAGUCCCACUGCACUCCCGCCUGGGUGACAGAGUGAGACUCCGUCUCAA
This 148-nucleotide non-coding RNA is filed under the name Pan troglodytes (chimpanzee). The record is from Rfam by way of RNAcentral. Lineage: Eukaryota; Metazoa; Chordata; Mammalia; Primates; Hominidae.